This 500-nucleotide ribosomal RNA is filed under the name uncultured bacterium. RNAcentral describes it as "bacterial SSU rRNA". It matches the Rfam family "Bacterial small subunit ribosomal RNA", at positions 898 to 1398 of the family's 1533-position model. The record is from RNAcentral.
AACUCAAAGGAAUUGACGGGGACCCGCACAAGCGGUGGAGCAUGUGGUUUAAUUCGAAGCAACGCGAAGAACCUUACCAAGUCUUGACAUCCUUCUGACAAUGUAUGUAAUGUAUAUUCUCUUCGGAGCAGAAGUGACAGGUGGUGCAUGGUUGUCGUCAGCUCGUGUCGUGAGAUGUUGGGUUAAGUCCCGCAACGAGCGCAACCCUUAUUCUUAGUAGCCAGCGGUUCGGCCGGGCACUCUAGGGAGACUGCCAGGGAUAACCUGGAGGAAGGUGGGGAUGACGUCAAAUCAUCAUGCCCCUUAUGACUUGGGCUACACACGUGCUACAAUGGCGUAAACAAAGGGAAGCAAGACCGUGAGGUGGAGCAAAUCCCAAAAAUAACGUCUCAGUUCGGACUGUAGUCUGCAACUCGACUACACGAAGCUGGAAUCGCUAGUAAUCGCGAAUCAGAAUGUCGCGGUGAAUACGUUCCCGGGUCUUGUACACACCGCCCGUC